CCCUUAGAUGUUCUGGGCCGCACGCGUGCUACACUGAGUGGAUCAGCGGGUCAGGUUGCGCGAAAACGUUUCCUAAUCUUUAAAUCCGCUCGUGAUGGGGAUUGACGGUUGCAAUUUUCUGUCAUGAACGAGGAAUACCUUGUAAGCGCGGGUCAUCAUCCCGCGCUGAAUACGUCCCUGCCCUUUGUACACACCGCCCGUCGCUCCUACCGAUUGAGUGGUCCGGUGAGGCUUUGGGAUCUGAGCGGAAAGAGCGUUUCGCUGUUUCUGCUCGGAAAACUCAGUCGAACCUUAUCAUUUAGAGGAAGGAGAAGUCGUAGCA
RNAcentral lists this ribosomal RNA (322 nucleotides) under uncultured eukaryote. RNAcentral describes it as "partial 18S ribosomal RNA". It matches the Rfam family "Eukaryotic small subunit ribosomal RNA", at positions 1470 to 1796 of the family's 1831-position model. The record is from RNAcentral.